Molecule: ribosomal RNA, 1434 nt
Filed under: metagenome
Description: bacterial SSU rRNA
Rfam family: Archaeal small subunit ribosomal RNA
Source: RNAcentral
ACUGCUAUUUGGGUGAGGAUAAGCCAUGCGAGUUGGAUGGGAUACCUAAAGUUCCCAUAGCAAACUGCUUAGUAACACAUGAUCAACUUGCCCUAUGGAGAAAACUAACCUCGGGAAACUGAGGAUAAUGUUUCAUAGUUGAAUAGGCUUGGAAAAGUUUUUCAAUGAAAGGAAUAAGAUAAAUGGUUCUUAUUUGCCAUAGGAUAGGAUCGUGGUCGAUUAUGGUAGUUGGUGAGAUAACGGCUCACCAAGCCGAUAAUCGAUAGGGGCCGUGAGAGCGGGAGCCCCAAGAUGGGUACUGAGACAGCGACCCAGGCCUUACGAGGCGCAGCAGGCGCGAGACCUCCGCAAUACACGAAAGUGUGACGGGGUUACCAAAAGUGUUCUCUUAAGAACUGUGGCAGGUGAGUAAUGUCCCCUGCUAGAAAGGAGAGGGCAAGGCUGGUGCCAGCCGCCGCGGUAAAACCAGCUCUUCAAGUGGUCGGGAUAAUUAUUGGGCUUAAAGUGUCCGUAGCCGGUUUAGUAAGUUCCUGGUAAAAUCGGGUAGCUUAACUAUCUGCAUGCUAGGAAUACUGCUAUACUAGAGGGCGGGAGAGGUCUGAGGUACUACAGGGGUAGGGGUGAAAUCUUAUAAUCCUUGUAGGACCACCAGUGGCGAAGGCGUCAGACUGGAACGCGCCUGACGGUGAGGGACGAAAGCCAGGGGAGCGAACCGGAUUAGAUACCCGGGUAGUCCUGGCCGUAAACGAUGCAUACUAGGUGAUGGUACGGCCAUGAGCCGUAUCAGUGCCGUAGGGAAACCGUUAAGUGUGCCGCCUGGGAAGUACGGUCGCAAGGCUAAAACUUAAAGGAAUUGGCGGGGGAGCACCACAAGGGGUGAAGCCUGCGGUUCAAUUGGACCCAACGCCGGGAAACUUACCAGGGGAGACAGCAGAAUGAGGGUCAGGUUGACGACCUUACCUGAUGAGCUGAGAGGAGGUGCAUGGCCGUCGCCAGUUCGUGCUGUGAGGUAUCCUGUUAAGUCAGGUAACGAACGAGAUCCGCACCUUUAUUUGCCAACAAGAAGUUACGACUUCGUUGGGAACACUAAAGGGACCGCCGUCGAUAAGACGGAGGAAGGAGCGGGCAAAGGCAGGUCAGUAUGCCCCGAAACCCCUGGGCUACACGCGGGCUGCAAUGGUAUGAACAAUGGGCUGUAACUCCGAAAGGAGAAACCAAUCCCGAAAUCAUAUCACAGUGGGGAUUGUUGGCUGUAACCCGCCGACAUGAACGUGGAAUCCCUAGUAAUCGUGUGUCAUCAUCGCACGGUGAAUACGUCUCUGCUCCUUGCACACACCGCCCGUCGCUCCAUCCGAGUGUACUAAAAAUGAGGUUUGGUCAGACUGGUCAUAUCGAGUUUCUAGUAUGCGAGGAGGGAGAAGUCGUAACAAGGUA